This 2603-nucleotide long non-coding RNA is filed under the name Marmota monax (woodchuck). Lineage: Eukaryota; Metazoa; Chordata; Mammalia; Rodentia; Sciuridae. The record is from RNAcentral.
CUACAGUGUAGGGUAUCCUGUUUUGAGCCCCCAAGUACUUUGGGUCAUAAUCCAAAUAAUCCAUAAUCUACUUUAUUUUCUUGCUGAAAUUAUUCUAGCUUUGGGCAUGAGUGCUCUUCUUGUUGGCUGCACACACAUGCCCACACGCACACUCCUUAUAUCCCGGCACUCUGAGAUGUUCAGCCAUCCUGCCUGUCUCCUGCCCCAGCCCUGGAGUCAGCCAUCUCUCUAAGAGGAGGUGCUCCUGUGUUCUACUGAGGGUGGUGUCAGAGGCCAUCAUCUGUGUGCUAUGUGUGCUUGUUGCUGUGAGGUGUUACUAUCCCUGGCCCUCCCAGGUGACCGAGCAAGGACGUCUGUGUAUGUGCACUUGUGUAUACACGCGGCUGUUGCACAUCUCUGCAUGGUUUUCAUUGGUUGCUGCUCCAUGAUCCACCACAUCCAGUGUCUCGUGGCCAACUGUGUCAGCACUUCUGUCCUCCGGCGUGGAACACUUGCUGUUCGGCUUUGGAUAUGAGGUGUUCCCAACCAGUAAGUCAAUCUCCUGGUGGAAUUAACUGAUGCCUCAAGGCGAGUGGAGUCUCUGCACCCUCUGAUCGUCACACAAGCUGCCUUCCUCUGCACACCUUCUGCCAUGAUGUUUUGCCUCACCUGGAGCCUUGAGGAGUGCAGCCAGCCAUCCAUGGACUGAGACCUCUGAAACUGCGAGCCCCAAAUAAGUUGAUCCUCCUCUACAAUUGUUCUGGUCAUUAGUCACAGCAGGGAAAAAGCUGACUGAAACACUUACUGUCACUGGGCUUUUUCCUCGCCCUCCUUCUUAAACGUUAAGUGUGCUAAUUAUUUCCAGCGCCCACACUCAGCCCACCGGAGAUGUCCUCUUCACCUGCUGCUUUACCCCGACUGCAAGCUCAUGGGAAGCACACCGUCCAUCCUCUUGGAGCCACUUUCUCUGGGCACCUCAGGGGGAAUACUGGCUUCUUGGUCUACUUCCUGUUGCUCUAACAAAACACCUAAGGCCAGGUUAUUUAUAAAGCAAUCAAGGUUAUUCAGCUCACAGUUCUGGAGACAGAACAGCGCACAGCAUGGCACAGGCACCUGUUCUGCCCCUGCAGGGGGCCUCAUGCUGAAUGGUAACAUGGCGGAGGACAGCACAUGGUGGGUCGGAGCAGGCACGCCAGCUCAGAUCUCUUCUUACAAGGCCACUGACCCCAGCAUGCGAGCCCCACCCUCUCAGCCUCAUGGGACCCUGGUGACCUCCAGAACACCCCACUCCCAGGCCAUUAACUUAUGAAUUGAGGGACCAGGUUUCCAGUCCAUAAACCUUUAUGGGACACACUCCAUGGCACUAGGCAAGGUAUUUGCUUGGAUUCUUGGUUUUACUAAUAGGACAGAACUGCAGAGAGUUGGAAUCAAGGCCAUUUAUCUGUGGUUUCUUUUCUGGAGAAAGCACGAUACUUGCUUUUUUGUUUAAUGUUCAGGUUGAAAUUAGAAACUUGCAUCAGUAUCUGCAGUUUUCUGUGUUUUCACUGACGAUGACUUCAUAUCAGAACUAUCAGGAAUGCUCCUGCACACACAAGAGAAGUGAGCAAGGGCAGGCUUGGGGCAGAUUUUGCCUACGCCAUGUUUCAGCUGGAGGCAGGUGUAGUACCCACCGGAGGCCGUGGGCUUGCUGGAGUGACGUGCUUUUGCUUGGCUCCUCAUUGCUUCCAGAGGCUGAAGGUCUGGCUCUGUCUCCUGCACCACUCCGUCUCCUUGAGUUCCUCUGAGACGCUGUCUUUCCCAGUAACACUCAGAAAAGAUCCAACACCAGAUUUUAUUCUGUUUGUUCAGAUAUGAUCUUUUUUUUUUUGGUACCACUGAGCCACAUGCCCAGCCCUAUUUUGUAUUUUAUUUAGAGACAAGAGUCUCACUGAGACCCUGCUUAGUGCCUCGCCAUCUCUGAGGCUGGCUUUGAACUCUCCAUCCUCCUGCCUCAGCCUUAGCUGCUGGGGUUACAGGGGUGUGCCACCGUGCCUGGCCAGAUACGAUCCUUCUUAGUCCACAAAGUGAGGUGGCCGUCUGUGACAGCUAGCUCCUGGUGUUGCCAGAUUGGAAGAACAGUUUAAAGUCUGCCUGCUCUACGGGCAACACCAGCAAUCCCUUUUGUUCAUUUCUUUCAAUGGGGUUGGAUGGGAUUCUGCCAUCUUGAUUGCCAUUGUUGGAUUUCUUGGUGGAAGAUGAGCUUGCUUUGGACACUAGGUAGCUUAUCCACACCAUAAAAGCAUGGUGCCCCCGAGAACCGGCUCCCAGCAUGGCGCAUCACCUCUGGAUUCUCCCUCCCCCAAAGGUGUCCGAGUGUCCAACCACGGCCCCCACAAGGGCCUGGCUUCAGUACACACGGCCCUUGUGGUUGUCACCCCCCAAACAUCAGGAGCACCCGGUGCACCUGGGAUGAGGUACAGGGCGACACAGCUGAUUCUGGACUUGGCACAGGAGAAAUUUGGCCCCAGGUUUGUGCCACUUUUUCUUCCCUUUGGCUUGACAUCAGAUAACUGUGUCUUAUCUGAGAAGUUUUCAACUCUCCCUCCAGAGCUUUCCCGUCCUUUGGGGGUUUUCAGAUAUAGUAG